AAACGACCCACUGUGAGAAUCCUCAGACCCUCAGACGCUGAUCUCUCUGGACUCCAAAACACCCACCUUCUUAGCUUGAUCACUGGUUUCUUCCCAUCUGAUAUCUCUGUGCAGUGGAAACUAAAUGGGAUGCAACUGGAUGCAGCUCAGUUCACCAACAGUCCUGUGGUUGCUCACACUUCAGGACGUUUUGCAAUGCAUAGUGCUCUAAUGCUGCCUGCAUCAGAGUGGAAGGAUGGCAUGUUCUCAUGUGUUGUUUCUCAUGAGUCAUCCCAAAGUCCAAUCAUCAACACUUUAGAGAACUUGUAUGCCUCAUUGAUUCCCUCUGCUCCAUCUGCAAAGCUGCUGCAAGGAGUUAGUGAGCUGGUGUGCCUGGAAUUUGGUUUCAGCCCACCUGCCAUCAACAUCACCUGGUGGCUGGGUAAGACUGAGGUGUCAGCCCACAGGGUCACCAAACCUGCAAAAGGCCCUGAUGGAAAAUUUAGCAUCCGAAGUCACCUGGAUCUCCAAACUUCAGACUGGACACCUGGUGAGGUGUACUGUACACAUGCAGAGUCACUCAUGUUGCUGAUACCUUGGUGCUUAACAUUUCAAUGAAAACAGGUACCCUAGAUUUCAAGUACUAAAAUAUUUUAAUCAAGAAAAUAAUGAAGCUUUAAAUGUGAAUUUAUUCUUGUUUGCUGU
Molecule: non-coding RNA, 684 nt
Organism: Carassius carassius (crucian carp)
Lineage: Eukaryota; Metazoa; Chordata; Actinopteri; Cypriniformes; Cyprinidae
Source: the annotation of a RefSeq genome assembly